CGCGUAGGCGGUUUGUUUAGUUAGGCGUGAAAUUCCUGGGCUUAACCUGGGACUGCGCUUAAUACAGGCAGACUUGAGUUCGGAAGAGGGUCGUGGAAUUCCCAGUGUAGAGGUGAAAUUCGUAGAUAAUUGGGAAGAACACCGGUGGCGAAGGCGGCGACCUGGUCCGAUACUGACGCUGAGGCGCGAAAGCGUGGGGAGCAAACA
This 207-nucleotide ribosomal RNA is filed under the name uncultured bacterium. RNAcentral describes it as "partial 16S ribosomal RNA". It matches the Rfam family "Bacterial small subunit ribosomal RNA", at positions 568 to 774 of the family's 1533-position model. The record is from RNAcentral.